GGGCCCGCACAAGCGGUGGAGCAUGUGGUUUAAUUCGAUGCAACGCGAAAAAACCUUACCAGGCCUUGACAUCCUGAGAAUUCGGUAGAGAUACCUUAGUGCCUUCGGGAACUCAGUGACAGGUGUUGCAUGGCUGUCGUCAGCUCGUGUCGUGAGAUGUUGGGUUAAGUCCCGUAACGAGCGCAACCCUUAUCCUUAUUUGCCAGCACUUCGGGUUGGGAACUUUAAGGAGACUGCCGGUGACAAACCGGAGGAAGGAGAGGGAUGAUGUCAAGUCAUCAUGGCCCUUACGGCCUGGGCUACACACGUGCUACAAUGGGCAGUACAGAGGGCCGCGAUACCGUGAGGUGGAGCAAA
This 357-nucleotide ribosomal RNA is filed under the name uncultured bacterium. Its description in RNAcentral is "bacterial SSU rRNA". It matches the Rfam family "Bacterial small subunit ribosomal RNA", at positions 917 to 1271 of the family's 1533-position model. The record is from RNAcentral.